AGAAAAUUUUAUUCUGGUUUGAUAAUUGGAUUAAUUUUCAUUUUACAUGUAAGUUUUAUUAAAUAAUUUUUAGGCAGUAUUUUAUUUUAUUAAUUAAGGAAGUUUUGAUUUAGUGAAAAAUUUUAGUUUUAACAAAGCUUGUGCCAGCAGUUGCGGUUAUACUAGUAAUACGAUUCAAUUUUUUCUUUAGACAAUUAGGAGGUGAGUUUAGAAUUAUUUUUUGUUGAUUUUUUAAGGUGAAAUUUAAAGAUUAAUUUUUUAAUUUUAUUUAAUUUGAUUUUGUUAUAUUUUUGUUUUAAACUAGGAUUAGAUACCCUAUUAUUUUAAAUUUAAAUUUUCUUUUGAUUAGUAUUAGUUAUGUUCUUGAAAAUUAAAGAUUUUGGCGGUAUUUUAUAUGUUCAGAGGAACCUGUUUUAUAAUCGAUAGUCCACGAUAAGGUUAACUUAAUUUACUAGUUUGUAUAUCGUCGUUUGGAAUAUUUCAUUAGAUUAAGAAUGUUCAUGAAACUUUAUUUUGUGUUAGGUCAGAUCAAGGUGCAGUUUAUAAUUAAGGAAUGAUGGGUUACAAUAAAUUUAUUUUUGGUUUAUUCUAUUGGUGUAGGAUAAUAAAUUGGAUUUGUAAGUAAUUUUAUUUAUUUAUUAAGGUGAUUUUAUCCCUAAAAUAUGCACAUAUCGCCCGUCGCUUUCAUGUAAAAUGAAAUAAGUCGUAACAAAGUAGGUGUACUGGAAAGUGUACCUGGAUUGAU
Molecule: non-coding RNA, 745 nt
Filed under: Anthrenus verbasci (variegated carpet beetle)
Lineage: Eukaryota; Metazoa; Arthropoda; Insecta; Coleoptera; Dermestidae
Source: RNAcentral